AUGACAGUGAAGGGUGGAGAAGGCCGCGGAGCUCGCCGCCGCUGCUGGCCGAGCUACCCUGAGAAGUUUCUGGAAAGAGGGCUACAAAGGGAACCUGAGGGGAUGAAUGGAAAGCGAGCCAUUUUCUGAGAGAAGACAGCGAAAAGUCCCAACAAAAAGUACACGGCCUUAGCCGAGCCCACGACCGACGACACACUCCCAUCCAAGGAGGAAGCGUGGGGACAAGGGAGCGGACUGGGAGACGCGGAAUGGCGGGGACAUUGAAAAGAUGGAGGCGCAGCCGCCGGGGCUUGGGAGUGGCAGGGAGGCGCUAGGUCAGGGGUCCCCGAACCCCGUCCUCCUUAGCUCCGCUCCCGUGUGCGCUCUGACCUGCCCGUCUACACUCGGGGGGCCCCCGGGGUUCACGGGGAUGUGACGCGCACACGCGCGCGAGCUCAUGGACAGCGUGGGAAGGAACCCCGGCCGCGCGCGGGGACAGCGUCCCCACGCCACGGCCCGCCCGGCUGCCAUUUUGUAGCGCGGCCGCCAUUUUGCGCGGCCCGGGGGCGGGGGAGGGGCUCGGGGCGCGGCCCCGCGGCUCGCGAUGGGCGUGGCCGGCGGCGGGCGCGGCCCCGGCCCCCUUUGUUCUCCGCCUGGGGGUCGCGAGGCCCCUCGGGCUCUGCAGCCGCCGCCGGCGCCGCAGCAGCAGCAGCGUGUGAACCGGGAGAGGCAGCCCCAGGGCGUGCGGGAUCCGGGAGCCCAUCGGAAGCGGGGUGUGUCCCCCCGUGCGAGGGAUGACAUCCUGCGUGGGGAAACUUAAAUCGCCGCCGUGGGAAGCGGCUUACGGGCGAACCGGGCUCGGCAUCCUCCACCUCUGCAAACAAAGUCAAGUUCGGUCCCGAAAGCAACAAAGGUGCCGAAACUCCGCGGAACCUAGCACCAGGAGGCGGGGCUCGUGCAGCCCACGAGGUGGAGGAGCGCUGAGAGCUCGGCUUCCAUUGGCUGGCCCUCGGAGCACAAGGCUUUCAGGGCCCAUUCUCCCUGACCCAGAAGCCUGAACAAUAAAUAUGCUGUGAUGGCUUUCUUCUGUCGAUUUAACUUCCACUUAUUUUCAAAAAGCUAUGAGUUUAUUAAAAAUAAAUAAUAAAAUACGUGCCUGACAUCCAUCGCCCUUUCACUUUCCGAAAAAGCAAAUGUCUUCUUGAGGAAUAUUUAAAAAUGCGAAUCUUAGUUGUGUGUAAUGCUGAAAAUUCUGGCACUAUUUCGCAAACCCAGAAAACUUGAAAAACGCUGCUAAAUUUGACUUCCAGCUUUUGUGCAGUUUUCUUCCCCCUAAUGGUUGACGUGGUUUUUCUUCACAAAAGCCUGGUAUCAUAAAGGAACCAGCCCGUCCUGACUCAUCUAUUUGUGUCUUGGCUACAGUAAACCUCUUUUUUUGUCUUCUCACUAUGUGUAAUUAUGGCGACUGCUUAUGUUUUCUGUAAUAGUGGGGUAAAGCUUAUGAUGACAGACUGAAAAGGUCAAAACAUGUUGAAGGAACCAAUCGGGAUUUUGAUGACUGCCAGAUGAGAGAAAUUUAGCAGAAGCGUUUCGAUUUCAAAUUUCAUGAAUAGGUGGGCUUGGUAGUUAUAAAACUGUAUACUGUGUCUUUAAGAUUACAUAAAUAGUCUGAAACCUUUAGUAGUGAUUACUUAAAAUAUGUUGUGUUCACCAUGUUUUCUUGUCUUGUAACCAAGUAAAACAAUUCAAAUCAUUAUUUGGUUAGUUGGUUUUCGAGACAGGGUUUCUCUAUGUCGCAGCCCCAGGACAUCAGUGAAAUCUUAUCCUGGGACGUUAGAAUAAUAUGGCAUAUAUGGUGUAUUGACACUCCGAGAAUGAUUUCCCAGCACUUCAUUGCACAGACAAGGAGAGUCUGAUUGAAUUUUAAAUUCUAUUUCCUUUAGAAUUUUUCACUGUUUUUGAGAAAGACUCAAGAAGCUCAAGCGGGUCUUGAACUCAGCUUUGUAGUUGAGGAUAAAUUUGAACUAAAGAUCCUCCGGUCUCUGUUUUUUAUUGUGCCCAAUGUUUUGUUGUUUUUGUUCUGUGGGUUUUUAAAUUUAUGUGUAUAUGUCCUUUCGGGUCAGAAAGGGUGUGGGUCUUGUGGAGCUGGAGUUAUAGGCAGUUUGGAACCGCG
Long non-coding RNA from Mus musculus (house mouse), 2152 nucleotides. RefSeq annotates it as RIKEN cDNA B330016D10 gene. Lineage: Eukaryota; Metazoa; Chordata; Mammalia; Rodentia; Muridae. The transcript has a single exon. The record is from RefSeq and is marked validated.